This 1371-nucleotide ribosomal RNA is filed under the name uncultured bacterium. RNAcentral's name for it is "bacterial SSU rRNA". It matches the Rfam family "Bacterial small subunit ribosomal RNA", at positions 28 to 1380 of the family's 1533-position model. The record is from RNAcentral.
GAUGAACGCUGGCGGCGUGCCUAAUACAUGCAAGUCGAGCGAACGGACGAGAAGCUUGCUUCUCUGAUGUUAGCGGCGGACGGGUGAGUAACACGUGGAUAACCUACCUAUAAGACUGGGAUAACUUCGGGAAACCGUAGCUAAUACCGGAUAAUAUUUUGAACCGCAUGGUUCAAAAGUGAAAGACGGUCUUGCUGUCACUUAUAGAUGGAUCCGCGCUGCAUUAGCUAGUUGGUAAGGUAACGGCUUACCAAGGCAACGAUGCAUAGCCGACCUGAGAGGGUGAUCGGCCACACUGGAACUGAGACACGGUCCAGACUCCUACGGGAGGCAGCAGUAGGGAAUCUUCCGCAAUGGGCGAAAGCCUGACGGAGCAACGCCGCGUGAGUGAUGAAGGUCUUCGGAUCGUAAAACUCUGUUAUUAGGGAAGAACAUAUGUGUAAGUAACUGUGCACAUCUUGACGGUACCUAAUCAGAAAGCCACGGCUAACUACGUGCCAGCAGCCGCGGUAAUACGUAAGUGGCAAGCGUUAUCCGGAAUUAUUUGGCGUAAAGCGCGCGUAGGCGGUUUUUUAGUCUGAUGUGAAAGCCCACGGCUCAACCGUGGAGGGUCAUUGGAAACUGGAAAACUUGAGUGCAGAAGAGGAAAGUGGAAUUCCAUGUGUAGCGGUGAAAUGCGCAGAGAUAUGGAGGAACACCAGUGGCGAAGGCGACUUUCUGGUCUGUAACUGACGCUGAUGUGCGAAAGCGUGGGGAUCAAACAGGAUUAGAUACCCUGGUAGUCCACGCCGUAAACGAUGAGUGCUAAGUGUUAGGGGGUUUCCGCCCCUUAGUGCUGCAGCUAACGCAUUAAGCACUCCGCCUGGGGAGUACGACCGCAAGGUUGAAACCCAAAGGAAUUGACGGGGACCCGCACAAGCGGUGGAGCAUGUGGUUUAAUUCGAAGCAACGCGAAGAACCUUACCAAAUCUUGACAUCCUUUGACAACUCUAGAGAUAGAGCCUUCCCCUUCGGGGGACAAAGUGACAGGUGGUGCAUGGUUGUCGUCAGCUCGUGUCGUGAGAUGUUGGGUUAAGUCCCGCAACGAGCGCAACCCUUAAGCUUAGUUGCCAUCAUUAAGUUGGGCACUCUAAGUUGACUGCCGGUGACAAACCGGAGGAAGGUGGGGAUGACGUCAAAUCAUCAUGCCCCUUAUGAUUUGGGCUACACACGUGCUACAAUGGACAAUACAAAGGGCAGCGAAACCGCGAGGUCAAGCAAAUCCCAUAAAGUUGUUCUCAGUUCGGAUUGUAGUCUGCAACUCGACUACAUGAAGCUGGAAUCGCUAGUAAUCGUAGAUCAGCAUGCUACGGUGAAUACGUUCCCGGGGUC